GCCUUCGUGGUGUAGUGGUCAGCACGCUCGGCGCGUGUUCGACAGGUCUGUGGUUCGAGUCCCGGAGAGGGCA
Stegodyphus mimosarum is the source of this 73-nucleotide non-coding RNA. NCBI's taxonomy places the organism in Eukaryota, Metazoa, Arthropoda, Arachnida, Araneae, Eresidae. The record is from Rfam.